GCCGGGGUGGGGGACUAAGCCUAUUCUGACUUUCGACAUCAAACGAUCAACGGAACACAAGCUGGCAGAGAAGAAUUGGCGAAAAAAGUGUUUAAUAGAGAAAAUGCAACUAACAAUCCAGUCAAAUGACCGUAUGGAAAUAAGAAUUUAAAGGAUACAUCUGUCUACUGCUUUGUAGGAACUGCUUUGUUCUUACAAGCUCGGAAUAUCGGCUCGACUUCUUCACCUGGUGCGGUGGUUGAUAACUUUAUAGUUUAAGAAAAAGGCUACAAAACCAGCAGCAUUUAUCAGGAAAUUGUCGUGGCUCUGCACUACUAUUCGCAUCAUGAUGUCACAGAGCAAAAAUCAAAAAAGAAAAGCUUUUUUUAUGAGCGAAAAUACAGAAUUGUUCUCCUAAACAAGCGAACACAACAAGGCAAACAACAUGGACAGUCAAGGUGAACUGUUAAUACCCAAAAGCCAUGAUGUGCGACUGAAUGAAGACAUGGAUGAUGAGCAGCAUAUUUUAGCAAAAUAUUUAGCUUUCCUUUUUCUUCCAUUUAAAAUAUGAUGUUCCUUUUCAAUCAAUCUGCAUUCUUCCCCUGAGAAAAAAAUAUUUCUCCAGUUUGGUUGAUAUUGCCCUAAAAUUUUUAACAAUUAAAUUCACAAAAACUUUGA
Molecule: long non-coding RNA, 657 nt
Organism: Nematostella vectensis (starlet sea anemone)
Lineage: Eukaryota; Metazoa; Cnidaria; Anthozoa; Actiniaria; Edwardsiidae
Exons: 2
Source: RefSeq, a predicted model, not a curated record